CUUGCCUCGCACGACUGGCGCGGGUGGGCAACCACCGGGGAGUGCGAGCAGAGCAGACAUCGACCGCCUGGGUGUCCCUC
This 80-nucleotide non-coding RNA is filed under the name Rhodococcus pyridinivorans. RNAcentral describes it as "ZTP sequence". It matches the Rfam family "ZMP/ZTP riboswitch aptamer (pfl RNA motif)". Rfam says of the family: Previously known as pfl RNA. ZMP is also known as AICAR. The record is from RNAcentral. Lineage: Bacteria; Bacillati; Actinomycetota; Actinomycetes; Mycobacteriales; Nocardiaceae.